RNAcentral lists this long non-coding RNA (299 nucleotides) under Mytilus galloprovincialis (Mediterranean mussel). Lineage: Eukaryota; Metazoa; Mollusca; Bivalvia; Mytilida; Mytilidae. The record is from RNAcentral.
AAUUUGUAAAUGAUGACCGUAACUUUUAAAGGAUGACCCUCAAUUCUAAGAAAUAUCCGUAAUUAUAUAACUAUCUUUUUGUAUCAAAUGAUUGCCAAAAGACAUGCAAAUGAACAGGAAGGGAAAACAUGCCACAAAAGCGCGAUAAAAUGACACCUUACAAGCAUAAUAAAAAAAAAAAUGGGGUGCACAGCCUUCAAUUGCUCGACAAAAGAUUUUUGUUUGUUUCUGGGAUUCCUUUUAAUGACAUAUAAUAAAUACACAUUUUUAAAAAUGCCAAAAAAUUGCAUGUACACCCA